RNAcentral lists this ribosomal RNA (468 nucleotides) under uncultured bacterium. RNAcentral's name for it is "partial 16S ribosomal RNA". It matches the Rfam family "Bacterial small subunit ribosomal RNA", at positions 28 to 507 of the family's 1533-position model. The record is from RNAcentral.
GACGAACGCUGGCGGCGUGCUUAACACAUGCAAGUCGAACGGAAAGGCCCUGCUUUUGUGGGGUGCUCGAGUGGCGAACGGGUGAGUAACACGUGAGUAACCUGCCCUUGACUUUGGGAUAACUUCAGGAAACUGGGGCUAAUACCGGAUAGGAGCUCCUGCUGCAUGGUGGGGGUUGGAAAGUUUCGGCGGUUGGGGAUGGACUCGCGGCUUAUCAGCUUGUUGGUGGGGUAGUGGCUUACCAAGGCUUUGACGGGUAGCCGGCCUGAGAGGGUGACCGGCCACAUUGAGACUGAGAUACGGCCCAGACUCCUACGGGAGGCAUCAGUGGGGAAUAUUGCACAAUGGGCGGAAGCCUGAUGCAGCAACGCCGCGUGCGGGAUGACGGCCUUCGGGUUGUAAACCGCUUUCGCCUGUGACGAAGCGUGAGUGACGGUAAUGGGUAAAGAAGCACCGGCUAACUACGUG